Limulus polyphemus (Atlantic horseshoe crab) is the source of this 460-nucleotide long non-coding RNA. RefSeq lists it as uncharacterized. Lineage: Eukaryota; Metazoa; Arthropoda; Merostomata; Xiphosura; Limulidae. The transcript has 3 exons. The record is from RefSeq and is a predicted model, not a curated record.
GCGAUGUUAUUGUUCAGCUCUAUGUGCGGGAAAUGAGUUAUUGUUAAUAAACUUAGUUAUAUGAUUAGUGUUAACUUUACGAAGACAAGAAAGCCUUAAAGUAUCUGAUUUAUGCUUAAUUGUCAAAUAGUUUGUAACAGUUAGGCUUAAAUUUAAGAGUCAUUUGUAUAACUUAAGAACAAUACAUUAAUUUAUACAGUUAACCUUAUCUUUUUCAAUUUCAGUGAGCCAUAGAUUAACGGUCGUAAUGUCACGACAGUUAGUGAAGUACAUCGAUACAAUGAUAGGGCUAUACAGUAUACUCUACAAAAAAUAAUGCCAUUUUAAGAGUGCUCUACAUACAUUAAAGUUUAAAUGUUUACGAUAUCUCCUUAUUGAGGGAAAACAAUAGCAGUAGUACAAGAGAUUCAUCCACAGAUCAUGUCGACCUUCCUCCAUCUUAUCAGGAAAGUGUCUCUGU